Molecule: ribosomal RNA, 437 nt
Filed under: uncultured Alphaproteobacteria bacterium
Lineage: Bacteria; Pseudomonadati; Pseudomonadota; Alphaproteobacteria
Description: bacterial SSU rRNA
Rfam family: Bacterial small subunit ribosomal RNA
Source: RNAcentral
UCAGCUGGGCUGGAUUGGAUACAGGUGGUGCAUGGCUGUAGUCAGCUCGUGUCGUGAGAUGUUGGGUAAAGUCCCGCAACGAGCGCAACCCCUGCCUUUAGUUGCCAUCAUUAAGUUGGGCACUCUAGAGGGACUGCCGGUGAUAAGCCGGAGGAAGGCGGGGAUGACGUCAAGUCCUCAUGGCCCUUAUGGGCUGGGCUACACACGUGCUACAAUGGCAACCACAGUGGGCAGCAACGUCGCGAGGCGGAGCUAAUCUCCAAAAGUUGUCUCAGUUCGGAUUGUUCUCUGCAACUCGAGAGCAUGAAGGUGGAAUCGCUAGUAAUCGUAGAUCAGCAUGCUACGGUGAUACCGUUCCCGGGCCUUGUACACACCGCCCGUCACACCAUGGGAGUUGGUUCUACCCGAAGCCGGUGCGCUAACCCGGCAAGGAGGCA